UCUAUAUUUACAAUAUCUUUCAGCAGAUAACUUUUGAUUAAGAAUAUUUUUUAAAUUUAUUGCAAUUCAUCCAUUUAUCAUAACUGAUGUUAAAAAAAAAAUUGAUAACGUUUGCAAAAAUGGAUAGUCGACGUUACUGAUGGGAUGGAUGUUUUCAUCUUAAACCGCCUUGUAGCCCCCUAUUAACUUACAUACCCGUUAUUAUCUUAGUAUCACUAAUUGUUUUUGCAUUGCAUGGAAACCAUUUACUAUAUGAUAUGUCCAGCUUUAGUUCUAUUGUAUUGUAACAUGUAGCCAGAGAGGACAGAGAGGAAACAUACAACAUAUAUACCAUAGUAAUGACCGCUUACUAUUGAUAUAUUAGCUGUAUGUGAAUUAUUUUAUGUUAUGGUUUGAUCGUGUAAACAGUCUCCUGAGUCUUUUGUUUUGGUAGUGUUUUUAAGAUGAGAUCUGCAGUGGAUUACUGUCUCCUAAGGAGCCAUAGUACCACGAGUAAUCUUGUUUACGAGAUCAAGUUGUGAAAACACUGGGUCAGUUAGAUUAUAUCGAGAUGGAGAUGAUGGAGAUGAUGUGGAUAGGCAUAAUUAGCUAAAUCCCCCUAUAUAGGGUUCAAGCUAAUUUGUAAUUUUAGACGGUUUAUACACACGGUCAUUCCAAUCACAGGAUAUUUUAGAUCACAGUCUAUGAAGGAGGAUAAAUGGACGGAUGACAAGGAGUUGAGUUUAAGAAUAUACAUCGAGAGUAUGAUAUAACAGAUAACAGGAACUAUAUUUUUUAACAACAAGCACUACUCGAUGUGUAUUCUUCAACGCAGCAACGGCAGGAAUAGAAGGCGGUUUAAGAUGAAAACAUCUUCCUCACCACCAGUCCCAGACGACUAUCCGAUCCUGACCCGCAGGCCAGGAUACGAAAGACUGCUCUCUGAUUCUGUCUUAUAUAUGAACAAGACCGAAAGCAAGUGCUUUCGAGAGAAAUGACGAGGCAUUUGAAUCAUUUAACUUAAUUUCUUUAAAAUCAGUAAAGUUAAAUUUAAUAAUAAACUUUAAUUAUAAAAUUAAAACUAUGCCGUUUGUAAAAUUUGUUAUAAAAAUAUUAAAAAUCUUAAUAAAAUAUAACUUAAUUCUUGAAAUUAAUUUAAAUAAUCGUUAAAACAUAAAGGUAAUAGCCAUCUAGUGCCAAUAAUCGAACUAAAGCAUGUGUAGAAUCAGAGAGGAACCUAACCUAACCUAACCUAACCUGCUCGCGAUCUGUUCCGAGCUUUGGCGACACGUGUCCCAAGUGAGACAUAAAUUUUAAAAAAUCUGUUCCGAGCAUAUAUUUAAAAUUCCUAUAAAAAAAGAUAAUGCCAAUAUCAAAGUGCAGACGACAUCGAAGUCAUCGGACUUGAGAGCAAAUUAUCAUAGCCAUUCUGACGUGUUUAUUUGUUGCGCCUGUUCAGCGGUGAAAUCUGUUAUUUGACUCAUAAAAAUGUUAAAAAAGAGGAUUUUAUUGUUUGCGCAAAAAAGCACACAGGAUAAUUAGAUUAUUUUACAUACAUUUUUGAAGGAUCCGUAUAUAUAUAUGUCAAAAAUGGUUUGAAGCUUGCAGAUUGCAUGAUAAAGAUGUAUAUCGUUUUUAUGCUCAAAUCACUUUGAAUUAUCUGAGAAUUUACUUGCGUUGAAGAGAUAACCUUUUGAGGCUAUACUGCCACUGUUGAAAAAGCUGUACCAAAUCAUCCAGUUAAAUCAUCAAAUAUGACAACAAAUAUUACAAUUGUAUUAAAAUCAAAGCUAAUGUUACAUCUCCAACUGUAUUAUACAUAAUGGAUCAUAAUAUUGUUCAGUCAAUAUUGAAAGUUGUGAUUCCUGAUCAUUCAUUGCCAAUGAUAGAAAAUACUUAUGUGUCUAAAACAUCUGAAGUAAAUGUUAUAUCUCCAACAGUACCUGAUGUAAUAGACUGAUAAUGCUGAUAUGAUGGAAUGUGAUAACAUUAUUCAGCCAAUAUAAAAAAUUUCAAUUUUUGAUCAUUCAUAUUGCGAAGAGAACGUUUUUUCUCAGGAAAACGAUUGUUUGCACAGUCUCAAUAUAUUUCAGAAAUUAAUAUUAGUGAUGCUAGUUCACCAAAAAGUGCAGGAAGGGUAAUCAAUUUUAUUAAAGAAGAGGAUCAAAAGAAAUGCAGUUGAAUAAGAUGUUUGAACGAUUAUAACAAAAGACUUCUAAAACAAAUUGUUAUAUUGCAGGAAUUAAUAUCUCAUUUAAAAGAAACAAUUUCUGAAGAUGCAAAUAAUAUACUAAUCAAUAUGGUAAAAGCCUAAUAGAUAUCUUUUCUUAGACAUAUAAUAAAAAGUGUUAUCAAAAAUUUGAAGUAAUUGCUAGAAAUAUUUUUCCUGAUACAAAAAUAAAAAUAAUUUCGGAGCUCCUCUUUACAUUACACUCAUCUUCUGUCAUUAGAACUAGUAUUUUAUAUGUAAUUCUCCUUUUAUUAUAUGAAACUUUGUAUGUUUAUAUUUGUUGAUUUGGAGUAUUAAAUUAUUUUAAUAUAUUUAACUGUGGUUUGUUGCUGAAAAGCACCCAAUAAUUGUUACCAUUUAUGUCGAUUGAAUUGUAAGAAUACUCUAGAAAUAAAUGGAACAGAGUGUUUACCUAAAAA
Long non-coding RNA from Solenopsis invicta (red fire ant), 2628 nucleotides. RefSeq lists it as uncharacterized. The transcript has 4 exons. The record is from RefSeq and is a predicted model, not a curated record. Lineage: Eukaryota; Metazoa; Arthropoda; Insecta; Hymenoptera; Formicidae.